AAUGGUUACUGGAAUGACGAUGAUAACGAGAUGCAAUUCAACAGGUUGCAGAUUUUGGCGAUUUUAACGAUAGACAAUGACUUAGAUCUCGUCACUUGUCUAAGAACACUCGCUAUAACUCCACUGGUAGAAUUAGACACAAGCCUUAUGCAGUAGUUAACAUUUCAAUGAUUCAGGAUGGAAUACAUGUAGUUUUACAAAUUAGCGGAUGUUGUCAGUUCUACUGAUUGACUGUAACGUUUGCGGGUCACUUUAUUUGGUUCAUUUAUUUCUUUCAUUAUUAGUAAUUUUAAUUGUUUUCUGAAAGAUUGAUCAUUAUUAUUUUGUUUCUUUCUGAAAUUUUCAUUCAUAAAUUUUAGUGACGUAACAAACCUCGCAUUAGUCAUUAUAUUCAAAAUAUGUUUCCCUUCUCAACCAAUAAGAGCGCUCGAUUAAGUUCCCGGGAAAAUUUAGCUCGUGCAGUGAUUGUCUUCCGGAAAUCAUUCCCAGCUCAGAUGCUCAAGUGUGGACGUAUAGGUAAAGAGGGAACUUUCCACCAUGUGCGCGAUUUUUUUAAAGUGGUCUCGGCGCUAUUUUUGUGUUUUAUCAAGGGUAUUUAAGAUGAUGUGUAUUUCGACAUUUUCUAGGUAAGAAUUCCCCCUCCAAUUUGAUGUAUAUUUUGAAUUGACUAAAACUGGCUAGUUUUAGUCAGGGUUUGCUUAAAAUAUUUUAGCGAAGACUUUGAAUAUUUACGUAUUGAGACGUAGUUUAUUUAGAAGGCGAUUCGCGGGUUAAUUGAGUUAAAUUAUGAGCUAAGUUUUGAAGAGUUCUUUGAACUGAAUAAAUGUUUUCAGUUAGCGAAUAUCGAGAUUCAUCAGUUGUUUAGGUUAAAGCUAUUUAUAGAUUGCUUGAAAAAGAUUAAGGUUCGGGGUCAUUAUUUGUUGACAUUUUCGUACGUGUCUCAAAUCUAUGACUUGAACUUAAAGUGUUAAAACGUAAAGCGAGAUUAAAAUGCAAACCCUGGGCAGAAUGGCAGAAUGAGUCGUUAGAGAAAAUUAUAGUUGUAAAACCACUUUGUGGUCCAAGAAAUAAAGAGACAUUGCUGAAUUAGAGACCAUUGAAUUACAAAAUCAUACAUAUACUUGACACGCAGUUGAAUAAUAUUGUCUAAUAACGAUUGUGUGUUGUUUAAUAAAAGUUGUACUUUA
Molecule: long non-coding RNA, 1187 nt
Organism: Mytilus californianus (California mussel)
Lineage: Eukaryota; Metazoa; Mollusca; Bivalvia; Mytilida; Mytilidae
Exons: 2
Source: RefSeq, a predicted model, not a curated record